UGUCAGUAUUUUUUUAAAUUGGUAUCAGAGCCAUUGUUCAUUAUGAUAUGAUUUCUUAUGUGUUUAGAUCUGAUUAUAUGUUAUUUAUAUUAGAUCUAAAUAUAUUUUAUUUUUAGAUCUAAUUUUUGAUCAGCUCUAUACAUAUUAGAUUAGAUGAUUUGAGUAGCAAAGUACUCAGAUUGGGUAAUCAUCAGGCCGUC
RNAcentral lists this long non-coding RNA (200 nucleotides) under Elaeis guineensis (African oil palm). RNAcentral describes it as "long non-coding RNA (EGUI_LNC048910)". The record is from RNAcentral. Lineage: Eukaryota; Viridiplantae; Streptophyta; Magnoliopsida; Arecales; Arecaceae.